GACAGGGAGGAGUCUCAUUUUGCAUCAAGAGCUUUCCAUGGGUCAUCUUAUUUCACCCUGCACGAUGCUGUGUGGUCUCAUCACCACUGAACACACAAGACCCUGAGACUCUGAGAGGUAGACACUGCACUCUACAGCUGCGAUUCACACCUGGAUCUGCUGGCUCAAGGUCUGCACUCUUUCCACUGCACCACAGUAACCCACAUGAAUCAGCAAUGAAAAGGCAAGACGGAGUAAGCUUCAAGCACCGAUGACCAUCUGUUUUAGCCCAAGUUGCCUAUGAAACAGAGCGUUAUGCAGAAGCUGAAGUACUAAUGCCUUAUUAGAGGAUGCAAGCCCAGGGAAGCAAGAGUGAGAGGUAAAGAAAGAGAUAAAGGAGGAACAACCAAUGGACAGGGGUGCAUUACCAAGAUGGCCACUACUUCAUUACAAAAAGAACUGAUAGAUCCAUCCUGUGGCAUGGCUCAGAGAGGCUACAGGAAACAUGGCAUCUCAGAGCAUCAUUUAGGAAAGGAAGGGUCCUGGGGACUUUUUCUUCUUAUGUCUGUACCUCAUCAGUUAAUUCUGGCUCCAUACAGAAUGCAAAAAUAUCUACUCACUGCUCUAGGAUCCCCUACUGUUAAUCAUAGAAAGCCAAUCACCAGGUAUGAACUUGCAGAAAGCACAAUCUUUAGGAACUGAGUGCUCCUUAAUGCCUUUUCACAGAAGGAAUUAUUUCCCUCCAGUUGUCCCUGUGGCUUGUUUGCCAUGGUGUCCUCACCUAAGCAUUUGAGGAAUAAACAAAAGUGAAUGAAAAUGGUGGUUGUCUGAUUGUUGUCAUGGUUGCACGAUACUGCAGCUUCCUACUCUAGCCAGAGAGUUCUGUGUCCAUUUUCUUGGUCUAAUACGCACUCUA
Molecule: long non-coding RNA, 895 nt
Filed under: Pan paniscus (pygmy chimpanzee)
Lineage: Eukaryota; Metazoa; Chordata; Mammalia; Primates; Hominidae
Description: lncRNA (ENSPPAG00000045509.1)
Source: RNAcentral